Molecule: unclassified non-coding RNA, 336 nt
Filed under: soil metagenome
Description: partial contains 5.8S ribosomal RNA, internal transcribed spacer 2, and large subunit ribosomal RNA
Rfam family: 5.8S ribosomal RNA (bases 1-120)
Source: RNAcentral
GAUGAAGAACGCAGCGAAAUGCGAUAAGUAAUGUGAAUUGCAGAAUUCAGUGAAUCAUCGAAUCUUUGAACGCACAUUGCGCCCGCCAGUAUUCUGGCGGGCAUGCCUGUUCGAGCGUCAUUUCAACCAUCAAGCCCCCGGCUUGUGUUGGGGAUCUGCGGCUGCCGCAGGCCCUGAAAAGCAGUGGCGGGCUCGCUGUCACACCGAGCGUAGUAGAUUUCAUCUCGCUCAGGGCGUGCUGCGGGUUCCGGCCGUUAAACCACCUUCAUAACCCAAGGUUGACCUCGGAUCAGGUAGGAAGACCCGCUGAACUUAAGCAUAUCAAUAAGCGGAGGA